Molecule: ribosomal RNA, 727 nt
Filed under: uncultured bacterium
Lineage: Bacteria
Description: bacterial SSU rRNA
Rfam family: Bacterial small subunit ribosomal RNA
Source: RNAcentral
CUGCGGAUCCGCGGCCGCAGAGUUUGAUCCUGGCUCAGAUUGAACGCUGGCGGCAUGCCUAACACAUGCAAGUCGAACGAGGUUGGCUUCGGCCAACCUAGUGGCGGACGGGUGAGUAAUACGUGGGAAUCUGCCUCGUAGUGGGGGAUAACGUAGGGAAACUUACGCUAAUACCGCAUACGCUCUACGGAGGAAAGGGGGGGAUCUUCGGACCUCUCGCUAUGAGAUGAGCCCACGUCUGAUUAGCUAGUUGGUGGGGUAAAGGCCUACCAAGGCGACGAUCAGUAGCCGGCCUGAGAGGGUGGACGGCCACACUGGGACUGAGACACGGCCCAGACUCCUACGGGAGGCAGCAGUGAGGAAUAUUGGACAAUGGGCGAAAGCCUGAUCCAGCAAUGCCGCGUGUGUGAAGAAGGCCUGCGGGUUGUAAAGCACUUUAAGUGGGGAAGAACGGGAUUGCGCUAAUACCGCGAUCCUUUGACGUUACCCACAGAAUAAGCACCGGCUAACUCCGUGCCAGCAGCCGCGGUAAUACGGAGGGUGCGAGCGUUAAUCGGAAUUACUGGGCGUAAAGCGCGUGUAGGCGGUUUGAUAAGUCGGAUGUGAAAUCCCUGGGCUUAACCUGGGAAUGGCAUUCGAUACUGUCAGGCUAGAGUAGGAUAGAGGAGAGGGGAAUUCCGCGUGUAGCAGUGAAAUGCGUAGAUAUGCGGAGGAACACCAAUGGCGA